Molecule: ribosomal RNA, 305 nt
Filed under: Rhizopus delemar
Lineage: Eukaryota; Fungi; Mucoromycota; Mucoromycetes; Mucorales; Rhizopodaceae
Description: partial large subunit ribosomal RNA
Source: RNAcentral
GACCGGAGACAUUAAGCAACACCUAGCGUAUAGRGUUMACCAAAAMGACAACCUUGAUACCGGGAGUCAGAGAACCUUCCUGGAAACUCGCCAAAAAGCAUUCGCUGCGUUCCUCAAUCCAACCCAAGGUAUUUUCUAAGGGACUAUAACACCCACAAGUGGGCCACAUUUCCCUUAGUUUUUUCCCUCAAGUCAAAUUGUCGUUGGCAGGAUAGCCUGCAAGUGCAUCCAGGCCGAAGCCUARAAUGUUACAGACAAGCCAGUCUGGUCCAAACGGUUCCCUUUCAACAAUUUCACCCCCUAGU